CGGAACAAGACACCAGUACCCCG
RNAcentral lists this non-coding RNA (23 nucleotides) under Cricetulus griseus (Chinese hamster). Lineage: Eukaryota; Metazoa; Chordata; Mammalia; Rodentia; Cricetidae. The record is from RNAcentral.